AUCUUAAAUUCGGGAAUUUCCUCAUUGUCUUUAUGUACCCCAGUUCUGCAGUGGGUUCCAUGUCAUGGACUUUGCUAGCUUCUUAGGAGCCUUUCGAAGCCUGGACAGAGCUCUGUCCAGGAUUGGGACCACAGAGUUUCCUGAAAACAGUGUACAAUUGGAAUGGGGAUGGAAAUGGCUGCCUAGAGUGUAG
Molecule: long non-coding RNA, 193 nt
Filed under: Crocodylus porosus (Australian saltwater crocodile)
Lineage: Eukaryota; Metazoa; Chordata; Crocodylia; Crocodylidae
Description: lncRNA (ENSCPRG00005003374.1)
Source: RNAcentral